Molecule: ribosomal RNA, 492 nt
Filed under: uncultured bacterium
Lineage: Bacteria
Description: partial 16S ribosomal RNA
Rfam family: Bacterial small subunit ribosomal RNA
Source: RNAcentral
AGUGAACGCUGGCGGUAGGCCUAACACAUGCAAGUCGAACGGCAGCACAGUAAUAGCUUGCUCUUACGGGUGGCGAGUGGCGGACGGGUGAGGAAUACAUCGGAAUCUACUUUUUCGUGGGGGAUAACGUAGGGAAACUUACGCUAAUACCGCAUACGACCUACUGGUGAAAGCAUGGGAUCUUCGGACCUUGCGCGAUUGAAUGAGCCGAUGUCGGAUUAGCUAGUUGGCGGGGUAAAGGCCCACCAAGGCGACGAUCCGUAGCUGGUCUGAGAGGAUGAUCAGCCACACUGGAACUGAGACACGGUCCAGACUCCUACGGGAGGCAGCAGUGGGGAAUAUUGGACAAUGGGCGCAAGCCUGAUCCAGCCAUACCGCGUGGGUGAAGAAGGCCUUCGGGUUGUAAAGCCCUUUUGUUGGGAAAGAAAAGCAGCAGGUUAAUACCCCGCUGUUCUGACGGUACCCAAAGAAUAAGCACCGGCUAACUUCGUG